This 256-nucleotide ribosomal RNA is filed under the name uncultured bacterium. RNAcentral's name for it is "partial 16S ribosomal RNA". It matches the Rfam family "Bacterial small subunit ribosomal RNA", at positions 524 to 776 of the family's 1533-position model. The record is from RNAcentral.
UACGUAGGGUGCAAGCGUUAAUCGGAAUUACUGGGCGUAAAGCGUGCGCAGGCGGUUUUGUAAGUCUGUCGUGAAAUCCCCGGGCUUACCUACGGUGGAAUGGCAUUGGAGACUGCAUAGCUAGAGUACGGCAGAGGGGGAUGGAAUUCCGCGUGUAGCAGUGAAAUGCGUAGAUAUGCGGAGGAACACCGAUGGCGAAGGCAAUCCCCUGGGCCUGCACUGACGCUCAUGCACGAAAGCGUGGGGAGCAAACAGG